Long non-coding RNA from Hyalella azteca, 674 nucleotides. RefSeq lists it as uncharacterized. The transcript has 3 exons. Lineage: Eukaryota; Metazoa; Arthropoda; Malacostraca; Amphipoda; Hyalellidae. The record is from RefSeq and is a predicted model, not a curated record.
GGUGGUGCAAGUGCUCCGUCUGUGGGCGCUGGAUGUAGUGUUGCAAAGCCUGUCAUUGUCAUUCCGGAACAUGUGGACUGAUCUUCUGUGCGUGCAGAGCGGCGUUUCUCGAACGCCAGCUUCGGCACGAACGGAAGCAUUGGCCCCAGCGACCACCGUCCUUCGGUGUCGCUUAGCACGAGCUCGACGCCCGUGCCCUCGCCGCCCUCCCAGGUGCGCAAAGACGCGCCGGCCCCGCCACGCAAGCCUCCCGUUGUAAACUUUGCCACCGCCACCGCCGCCGCCACCGCCGAAGACGACGUCGGCCGACCCUCGGUCGUCAACUCGCACGGUUCACAGACCAUCGACGCGUCACAAGUCAAGUUCACGACGGGCGGCAAGAACAGGACCAUGAAAGUCAUAAAGCCCAGCAUGGAUCGCUCCCCAUCCAGAUCCUUCACCUCUCCUAAUGGAGUUCGGAUGGUCGAGCGUUCCACAUCCCCUUUUAAUAUCGAAGAUUACCCUGGUAAUAGAAUCCACAGUAACGCGUGUACACUUCUUUGAAAAUUCCAGCGAUAUCUUCGUCGGAAAUUUACAAAUCAAUGUAGAGGCAAGCCACCGAACAUUUCAUCGUAGUUUAAAAACCAAACUGUCUUAGGGUACGCACACAGUGAAAGCAGGUUGCCAGCGUGCUG